This is a long non-coding RNA of Cyprinus carpio carpio, 1544 nucleotides long. NCBI's taxonomy places the organism in Eukaryota, Metazoa, Chordata, Actinopteri, Cypriniformes, Cyprinidae. The record is from Ensembl.
AUGCUAGAUUCCCCGGCUAAGAGGACGGUCAUGCCAGAGUCCCUGGCCGAGAUGGCCACCACGCCACAUUCUGGACUUGUCAUGACCACCACGCCAGAGCCUCGUCACACCACUGCUGUUAUACAAGUUUCCUCUAAGAAUACUUUUUUGAGGCGGGGCUAUUGUACCCAAGCUCUAGUGGAUGCAAACAAGACUGAUUGGCAGUGUGAUGGACCCACCUUUAAUGUCAGUGCGAGUGGCUGGCGUCCCAGUGGUCUUUACGCUCCCAAGCCUCACAGCUUUGACACUCUCGGACCCAACAGACCUCCCUCUGUCUACUGCGCUGCCUGUGAUGGUGGUUGCCAUUAUGUGUGUCUGCUCUCUCCUGUGCAUGAGUCUGUUCCAUGAGGUCUCUCCUGUCCACGAGUCAGAGGCAUCCAGAAGUGGUGGCACCCAUCCAUGAACUCACAUUUUGCCCCGUUACGCCAGUCUUCAGUGUCACAUGACCUUUGUGGAAACUGUGGUACUUUUUUUUGUUUUAGAAUUUUUUGAUGAAUAUAAAAUUCUAAACAACAGCAUUUGAAAUCUUUGCUGUCAAUUUUGAUCAGUUGAAUGCAUCUUUCCUGAAUAAAAGUAUUUAUUUCUGUGUAUUUUUAUUUUUUAUAUAAAGCGCUAUAUAAAUAAAUAAAAGGUGACUUGUAAAGAAAUCUUACUGAUCCCAAACUUUUAAAAUGGUAUAGUGUACCAUGCUAUCAAUUUUACUUUUCACAUAUAAACUUUUUUAGUUGUGAGCAUGAAUCAUCAAAUCAUUCACUCUCAGUUCCCAGACGAGCAGAAUCCUCUCCAUCAGAGUCCCCCUGUGUCCAGUUAUCCGGCUCAGAUAGACCAGCUGUCCUUUUAUGCCAGAACCUGUCACAGUAAACCAUUGCAAAUUUGUGGAAUGGUGGAAGGAAGUAGAAUGGUUUGAUCAAUAGAUGCCGGUUUACAAAUUUCUCCAGCUUAGUCUCAAUCUCAUCCAGGGAAUCAGAGUACCAGAGCCAGCUGAAAACCUGUGACACUGAAGAGCCCAGCAGCAGAAAGAUCAUCACUGCCAUGUACACAUAGGCUUCAUCCUGAUAAAAUGACACAGCAGUCCAAAUGUCCAGCACUAUAUUCACAUUGAACCAGCUGAAGUACCAGAUGAGCCCUAUGCUGGCCCGGUAGAGUCAGUCCCUGCUGGGCUGUCCGUGAAAUUAGUGUCCUGCAUCCAGGCAAUAUCACAAAGACGGGCCACAGAGAAGUGAGCAGCGAUACAGCAGGGCAACACAGAGGCAAAGAAAGCAACCACAGCUGUUCCAGAAAAAGUAGAACAUAGAUGACAACCAACCUAGAUUGCCCAUGCAGGCAGAAAUGAACGACGUGACCAAUGAUAAUCCACCACAUCCAGGCUAUAGCAGUAGUGGCGGUGCCCACACUCACAUCUGCAGAACAGAAACAUUUUUAAAGUGAAGUGACGUGUGGCCAGGUGUGGUGACCCAUACUCGAAUGCAUACAUAUUCUAAUGUAAAGCAUAAUGUACUAUAUAU